GUGGGAGUAGCUCAGUUGGCAGAGUGCCUGACUGUGACUCAGGUUGUCGCGGGUUCAAACCCCGUCUCUCACC
RNAcentral lists this transfer RNA (73 nucleotides) under Candidatus Delongbacteria bacterium GWF2_40_14. Its description in RNAcentral is "tRNA-His". It matches the Rfam family "tRNA". Rfam says of the family: Transfer RNA (tRNA) molecules are approximately 80 nucleotides in length. Their secondary structure includes four short double-helical elements and three loops (D, anti-codon, and T loops). RNAcentral also lists the same sequence under 3 other names. The record is from RNAcentral. Lineage: Bacteria; Candidatus Delongiibacteriota.